CUCUAGUGGCGGACGGGUGAGUAACACGUGAGAAUUUGCCUUUAGGAGGGGGAUAACAAUUGGAAACGAAUGCUAAUACCCCAUAUGCUUCCGAGUGAAAUGGAUUUAUAUUUAUCCGCCUAAAGAGAAGCUCGCGGCUGAUUAGCUUGUUGGUAAGGUAAGAGCUUACCAAGGCGACGAUCAGUAUCUGGUUUGAGAGGACGAUCAGACACACUGGAACUGAGACACGGUCCAGACUCCUACGGGAGGCAGCAGUGGGGAAUUUUCCGCAAUGGGCGAAAGCCUGACGGAGCAAUACCGCGUGAGGGAAGACUGCCUAUGGGUUGUAAACCUCUUUUUUCAGGGAGGAAUCAAUGACGUGUACCUGAAGAAUAAGCAUCGGCUAACUCCGUGCCAGCAGCCGCGGUAAGACGGAGGAUGCAAGUGUUAUCCGGAAUCACUGGGCGUAAAGCGUCUGUAGGUGGUUUAAUAAGUCAACUGUUAAAUCUUGAGGCUCA
RNAcentral lists this ribosomal RNA (497 nucleotides) under uncultured Thalassiosira. RNAcentral describes it as "bacterial SSU rRNA". It matches the Rfam family "Bacterial small subunit ribosomal RNA", at positions 90 to 611 of the family's 1533-position model. Lineage: Eukaryota; Bacillariophyta; Thalassiosirophyceae; Thalassiosirales; Thalassiosiraceae. The record is from RNAcentral.